Long non-coding RNA from Vombatus ursinus (common wombat), 1539 nucleotides. RefSeq lists it as uncharacterized. Lineage: Eukaryota; Metazoa; Chordata; Mammalia; Diprotodontia; Vombatidae. The transcript has 3 exons. The record is from RefSeq and is a predicted model, not a curated record.
GAUCGCCUCUCUGCUUGUUUCACUCAAGGUUUUCUUGCUGUCUUUAAAGCAGUGACUUGUUCCCUUCUCCCUCUCUACAAGUCACCCCAGAACUCUGAACCCCAACCAUGUAGGAGUGGCAGAAAGCUGAAGGCAUACAGAAAGCUAAAGAGGAGCUGUGCUUUAUUUGAUGUGGAACACUCCAAGGUACUCCAGGUUUGAAAACGCCCUCUACUGAUACGGAUCAGCAACUCAUCUGUAACUUAUACUUAAGACAGUGAGUCAAUUGGUCUAGAUGGCCUCCAAUGUCCCUUUCUGCUUUAGACCUCAGACCUUUGUCUGAGGACACUGAGAGGUUAAAUGACUUGCCCCUGGUCACACAUUCUUUAACCCUGCUAGUUCUUGUCAGUGGCAGAACUUGAACCCAGGUCUGCUUGACUUCAAAGUCAGUCCCUUAUCCUCUACACCACACAGCUUCUCUAUGUUGUUCUUAUCAUAUUCUAUUUUGUGUUACGGUUAUUCGUGCACUUGUGGCAUGGUGUUUCAGAAAGAGCACUAGACUUGAGAAACAAAAGACUUGAAUUUUGGAUUCUGUUAUGUUCAUCGGCUAGCUGUGAGACCAUGGGUAAGUCAUGGAAGUUUUCUGGUCCAGUCCUAGUUUUGUCAUUUAUGAAAUGGGGAUGAUGCAACUAGUCUGUCUUACAGAAUUCUGUAAGCAAAGUACAUGACUGUGGGCUAUGAUAACCAUUUUAUGAUCUCCCUACUUACAUAAAAGCUUCCCUCUGAUGCUUCAUUGUGACCUGGAGGUGAGCCUUGGUCCAUACCAGGGUAGUGCAAAUUCUGCUAGACCACAUCAAGCUGAAAAAGAUUUUGAUUAUAUACAAGCCUGCUAAAGUCUUGUUGUCUGAGGACCAUUCUAGCUUCCUCUAGACUAGAGAAAUCAUUCAAUUCAAUUCAAUUUAAUUCAGUUUAGUCAUAGUGGGAUCAUUCAUAUAGAGCUAGAAGGGACCUCAGAGGUCUUUCACUUUACAGAUGAGGAAGUGAAUGCUGAAACAGUUUGAAUGACGUGCUACGGGUCACACAAAUAGAAAGAGGCUAAACCUGAUUUGAGUCCAGGUCUUCUGACUUCAAAUCUAGUGCUCUUUCCAUCAUCCUGUAGUAACCAAAAAAAGGUUGACUACUAGGUGAUUAACUUUUUUGGCCACAGUAACCCUUGAAGACCAUUUUCUAAAGAGGAGGAUUUUCAAUCUCCAUUGGUUAAGGGAAUAUUGAUAUCAAUAUCAAUAUCAAUGAUAACUCAGAUCUCCUGAAAUAUUGAAGACAUUAAAAUGUUAUCUCCUCACUAAAAUGAAAUCUCACAGGAAGGGAUUUGUGCUGCUUUAUUUGCCUUUAUAUUCCCCACAAUGGGAAAUAAAAUCCAAUCCAGUUCAAUAAAUAUUUAUUAAGCAUCUACUAUGUCAAAGGAUGUAGGUUAGGUGCCGGGGAUAUAAAGAAACAACAAGGAGCCAAGAUGGCGGAGUAAGAGGUGAGUCGCUUUUACCCUCCCUUAUUAACCUCUGA